Molecule: ribosomal RNA, 495 nt
Filed under: uncultured bacterium
Lineage: Bacteria
Description: partial 16S ribosomal RNA
Rfam family: Bacterial small subunit ribosomal RNA
Source: RNAcentral
GACGAACGCUGGCGGCGUGCCUAAUACAUGCAAGUAGAACGCUGAAGGAGGAGCUUGCUUCUCUGGAUGAGUUGCGAACGGGUGAGUAACGCGUAGGUAACCUGCCUGGUAGCGGGGGAUAACUAUUGGAAACGAUAGCUAAUACCGCAUAAUAUUGACAAUUGCAUGAUAGUCAGUUGAAAGGUGCAACUGCACCACUACCAGAUGGACCUGCGUUGUAUUAGCUAGUUGGUGGGGUAACGGCUCACCAAGGCGACGAUACAUAGCCGACCUGAGAGGGUGAUCGGCCACACUGGGACUGAGACACGGCCCAGACUCCUACGGGAGGCAGCAGUAGGGAAUCUUCGGCAAUGGACGGAAGUCUGACCGAGCAACGCCGCGUGAGUGAAGAAGGUUUUCGGAUCGUAAAGCUCUGUUGUAAGAGAAGAACGAGUGUGAGAGUGGAAAGCUCACACUGUGACGGUAUCUUACCAGAAAGGGACGGCUAACUACGUG